Regulatory RNA element from Pseudomonas fulva 12-X, 54 nucleotides. It matches the Rfam family "terC RNA". The record is from Rfam. Lineage: Bacteria; Pseudomonadati; Pseudomonadota; Gammaproteobacteria; Pseudomonadales; Pseudomonadaceae.
CUGCGACGCCGGGCCCCUCUGACAGCUACCCAGCUGCCAUGUCGGAGUUGCAGU